GUUUGUGCUCAGCCCUUCCUGCAGAUUGCCAGGGCAGGCUGUGCCAGCUUGGCAGAAAUCAGAGGGGCUGUGCUGGGUGAGCAGGGGCUGCAGAGCAAUCCUGGAGAAGCAAAGCAUCCAGCAGCACCCCAGCCCAUGAGCUCCCACUGCCCCAAGAGCAAAACCAGCUGGUUUUAGUGGGGGUCUGGGUUUGGAGGGGGCCAGGGAGAGGGAAGGGGCAGGGCUGGCUCAGGCUGUGGGGAGCAGGGACAGGCAGCCAGCUGAAAGCUUCUUAGGAAGAAAGAAAUGCAAGCAGAGCCUGCAAGCACCUGUUAGUCCAUGCACUGAAGACACAUUGGGAAAUGCUUCCUAACACAUCAGAUCCUUCCCAGGAUUGCUGCCUGUGUGCUCAGGGGUGGCACAGAACUGGGGGAGUGCAGCCCCAAAGGAGACCAACCACUGCACACGCUGCCCCAGGUACAUUUUCAGAGAGUGUUUCAGGUAACCACUGAAGACAGGUUCAGGGUGGUGCCAGAAGCCCCCCUGUGAACACCUGAGUGUGCAGCUGUUCAGGAGGGACCACACUGCUGGGACUUCAGUGUCCAGCCACAAACCUGCUCUUGGCACAGUCUGCAUGAGCCUAAACCUUCACAGGAGGCUGAGCUCCCCAGCACACCAGCAGAGCUGGUUCUGUGCCUCAGCUGCCACGAGCACCAAGCUGCCAUGCCCAUGGAGCCCUUCUGGAAUCCAGGUCUAACCCAGGAACCUCACGGGACACAGCACAGAGGUGCCUCACCUCUGGAUUCCUGCCCAAGAGUUUGAUGCAAGCCUGAGAAGACUUCAUUUCCAAGGUGAAAUUGGCAUCAUCUGCACUCAUUCCAGCCAGGGAUCUCCUCCCACCCAGGCACCCUCCCAAGUGGAAAACAGGAGGAGUAGAUGUGGAUGGCUGCAGCUUCAAUGGAAAACUCCUUUGGGAGCCUGUGCCUGGUCGUUGAGCUGUCCCACGAGAUGCAGUGUGCCAGACUUCAACAGAAACACAAAAUUAAAUGUGAUCCAAGAGGUGCAGUGAGAUUCCCAGGACAAGCACAGAGGAUUGUCCUGUGCUGAUGCUGCUGACACUGCCAGACAGUGAGGGGGGGAGCUCCAGCGAGAGGGUGCUUUGUUCACUCGGCUCAAAAUAUUUGAUAUCACACUGAAACAAAGAAGUGUUUGUUGGGACCAAACAGCGUUUGUGCCAGCUCUUGUCCAGCCUCAGGAAAGAAAAGAACUAAGAUGACCACUGGGCAUUAAAGCCACGGAGAGCUGGAGCAGGACCCGCCGGGACCCUCGCACAGGGGUGGCACUGUCGCAGCCUGCCGGGGCAUUGUGUCACUGCUCAGGUGUGGCUCAGCCCGGACCUCCCCUGCCCCAGCCACGAUCAGCGGCGGAGCCCUGGCAGCGGCCCCGGCUGGGAUCGGGACGGUGACAGCAGGGGCUGAGCAUCCAGUCCUGCCCUGCCCCACACGCUGGAGGUGCCACAGGGUGGUCUCCAGUGACAGCUCCUGCCUCUGGGCUGGAUACAGCCCCGUCCCAGGGAGGGUUCUCAAGGAACUUUCUCUGAAGUUUCCUCUUUGCUUUGGGUGUCAGUGGGCUCCUGCCAGAAAGACAUCAAUCUGAAAUGGGCAAUUCUAUGGAUGUUCAGCUUUAAAAUCUCCCCUACCCAGAGGAAAAUAAAAAAGGC
This is a long non-coding RNA of Haemorhous mexicanus (house finch), 1699 nucleotides long. RefSeq lists it as uncharacterized. The record is from RefSeq and is a predicted model, not a curated record. The transcript has 3 exons. Lineage: Eukaryota; Metazoa; Chordata; Aves; Passeriformes; Fringillidae.